AGGAUGGGAACGGCCUGAGUCCCGUUCCUGUUUCUAGCCCCCAAGCACGGCAGGGGCUUCGUCACCGCACAUCAGAUGAGUGAACAGCCAGGAUGAAGAGGCAGGAGUGCCAAGCAGUGACCAGCGCUCAGGGAGAGAAACCACAGAUUCGUCCAACGACCUUGAGCGAGAAGGAGCUUCCUUUCUUCAGGCCGCAGUUCUCCCAUUGAUGGAGAGAGGAACCACCCAGGCUGCCUAAGUAUUUUCACAGAUGCUGCAUCCCUCUUGAAGCCUUCUUAGGGAAGCCAGUUCUGUCCCUCCUGAUCCUGGCACCCGCUCGGCCUCCUUGUGCCACUUGAUCUGCCCUCCUUCUCCAAGAAGUCUCGGGGGCACCCUGUCCAGCUCUGAGUCUCGUCCUAGAUGACCAGGAGGGUCUGCGGGGCCUGGCCAAAUGCUGGAUUGAGAAGCUGGGGCUGUUUGUCCACUUCCUUGAAGGUGGGCUGGCCUGGUGACUGGUGGACCAGGAGGAUGAGGGGGAAGUGAUGAUGUGGAACUUCUGGACGCCAAGGAGCCUUGCGACUUCCACCUGGGCCCUCAGGCCACUCAUUCUUGGGACACUCCCUCUUGAAACCCAGCCAUCAGGCUCUGAGAAGCCCAAGCCAUGUGAAGAAGCCAUAGGUAGGCGCCAUUGUUGACCACCCAUCUCAGCUGCCAGCCAGCUGGCCUCCACUGCUGGCCAGAUGAGGCAACUGAGGCUCAGAGAGGUGAAGUCACUUGCCCCAAAGGACACAGCCGGAGGUUCUCAGCAGCUGUGUUCACAGAAGUCAAAAACUGGAAACUCUUGGGACCGGCCCCGUGGCCGAGUGGUUAAGUUUGCGCGCUCUGUUGCGGUAGCCCAGGGUUUUGCCGGUUCGGAUCCUGGGCAUGGACAUGGCACUGCUUAUCAAGCCAUGCUGAGUUGGCAUCCCACAUGCCACACUAGAAGGACCCACAACUAAGAAUAUACAACUAUGUACCGGGGGGCUUUGGGGAGAAAAAGGAAAAAAGUAAAAUCUUUAAAAAAAACAGAACAAAACUGGAAACUCUCCAGAUGCCCAUCAACAGCAGGAUGGACAGAUAACUUGUGGUGCAGUCAAACUACGGAACAUGACCCAACAAGGAGAAAGAACCAGUAAACUAUAUGCAAGAAUAUGGAAGAAUUUCACAGACAGAAUGUUGAGCAAAAGAAGCCAGAGACAAAAAGGCUGCAUGUUGUAUGUUUUCAUUUAGGGGAAAUGCAAAAACAGGCAAAAGUCAUCCCUGGUAGUAGAUGUCAGGAUCAUGGCUACCCUUGGGGGGCGGAGGUGGUGAUGACUGGCAGGGAGCCUGAAGGGGGCUUCUGACCUUAGUGUUCUUCUUCUUCACCCAGGGACUGGUUAUAUCGGGUAGUCGAUUUGUGAACGUUUAUCAUAUGUGAUAUGUGUUUUAUCACUUAUGAUAUCAUAAAUGGUAAUGAUAAAAUAUAUCAUAAUUUUAUCAUUUAUGACAUGUGUACUUUCUUGUAUGUAUAUUACAUUUCAGUAAAAUGUUGUAAAAAAA
Molecule: long non-coding RNA, 1557 nt
Filed under: Equus caballus (horse)
Lineage: Eukaryota; Metazoa; Chordata; Mammalia; Perissodactyla; Equidae
Description: lncRNA (ENSECAG00000056346.1)
Source: RNAcentral